CAAGUCGAGCGGAAGGCCCCUUCGGGGGUACUCGAGCGGCGAACGGGUGAGUAACACGUGAGCAACCUGCCCCUGACUUUGGGAUAAGCCUGGGAAACCGGGUCUAAUACCGGAUAUGACCCUUCACCGCAUGGUGUGGGGGUGGAAAGUUUUUCGGUUGGGGAUGGGCUCGCGGCCUAUCAGCUUGUUGGUGGGGUGAUGGCCUACCAAGGCGACGACGGGUAACCGGCCUGAGAGGGCGACCGGUCACACUGGGACUGAGACACGGCCCAGACUCCUACGGGAGGCAGCAGUGGGGAAUCUUGCGCAAUGGGCGGAAGCCUGACGCAGCGACGCCGCGUGGGGGAUGACGGCCUUCGGGUUGUAAACCUCUUUCAGCAGGGACGAAGCUAACGUGACGGUACCUGCAGAAGAAGCGCCGGCUAACUACGUGCCAGCAGCCGCGGUAAUACGUAGGGCGCAAGCGUUGUCCGGAAUUAUUGGGCGUAAAGAGCUCGUAGGCGGUUUGUUGCGUCUGUCGUGAAAGCCCACGGCUUAACUGUGGGUCUGCGGUGGAUACGGGCAGACUAGAGGCAGGUAGGGGAGCAUGGAAUUCCCGGUGUAGCGGUGAAAUGCGCAGAUAUCGGGAGGAACACCGGUGGCGAAGGCGGUGCUCUGGGCCUGUACUGACGCUGAGGAGCGAAAGCGUGGGGAGCGAACAGGAUU
RNAcentral lists this ribosomal RNA (705 nucleotides) under Actinomadura sp. YIM 48842. Its description in RNAcentral is "bacterial SSU rRNA". It matches the Rfam family "Bacterial small subunit ribosomal RNA", at positions 58 to 779 of the family's 1533-position model. Lineage: Bacteria; Bacillati; Actinomycetota; Actinomycetes; Streptosporangiales; Thermomonosporaceae. The record is from RNAcentral.